This is a long non-coding RNA of Equus caballus (horse), 1624 nucleotides long. NCBI's taxonomy places the organism in Eukaryota, Metazoa, Chordata, Mammalia, Perissodactyla, Equidae. The record is from Ensembl.
AACUCGGCGCCGCGUCGUGCGCCAGCAUCGCGCGGGCCCCGAGGGCGCCCUGCCCGCCCGGGCCCCGAGCCUCGGCUGCAGCGGGCGCGGGGGUCGAGGGGGCCUGGGGGCGGGCGCGCGGGCGUGGGCCCCGGAGCGCCGGCCGGACCCCGCGGCCCUCCCCGUCCCCCCGCCCCCGCCCCCUGCCAGCACUCCUUAGACAGGGACUGGGCGACGUGGGACGAGACUCCCAUCCCAUUUUUUAAAAAAGAAAAACUUAGUAGUCUCUGUUCUGUUGCUUUUGAUUCUUUGUAGCUCUAGAGAGUCCGGGCUGCGCGCCCGGCUCCGUCUCGCUGGUUAGACUUCAGACCCCCUCCUGCCUCCGUGCUUCCUCGGCGGAGACCCCACUGAGGGCGCCGCUCCUCUCCCCCCCCCCCCAACCCCGAGACCCAGCCCCCGGUCCUGCCUCGGCUUUCCCGGCUCGAUGGGGCGGGUUUUUAUAUCUGUGUAUUUUUCGCGCGGCCUCCACAGCCUCAGCUGGGGUUCCCGAAGGUCAGAAAAUGGCUAUUGAUUAAUCUAUUAGAAUAGUUGCCGAGAGAAAUAAAAACGACGUAAAAUAACAGGGAACCUAUAAAUACAGAAGCCGUAACUAGCUGCUCGGAGUUGUUAAACGACUUAGCAUGUGAAAAAGUCGGAAAUGAGGCGCUGGGGAAGGAGCCGGGAGUGGAGCGGCCUGGAAACCCUCCCGGACUGAACUCCGCGGAAGCCGGCAGCAGAGCGCGUGGAGGCGGCGGCGAGGACGCGGCCCGUGCACACCGAGUCUCCUUGGCAAGGGAGCUGCACCGCUUUGUGGCCCGCGGGCUCCGAACCGCUCCCAUCGCCGUCUACACAGCCUCCCGCGAAACCGACUGGAGCGGCGAGCUGGCUGCCCAUCGCCCCCCGGCUGCCGAGGCCGCGGCUGCAACUGUGCGAGGAAUCCAGUAAUUAUACAAAAGGAAGGUCGGAAGGACAAAACAAACCAACCGAAAUUGACAAAUUCUGAAUUUCCUUUGCUCAGCUUCGGUUGUUCAGCCCGGAGGCAGGCGCGGGCCGCAGCACGAGGCCCACCGCGGCCUAGGAGGCCGGGCCUGCGUGGACGCGUGCACGUGUGCGCGCGCGGGAGGGUGGCGGCCCCGGGGGGCAGUCCUGCGCGGUCUUCUUGAAGUAGCCUCCAAACGAGCCUGAUUUCGAUUCCGCCGCCCGCGGGGCUGCCUCUCCGACUCCCUCGGCGCGGCCGGCCCCUGCGCUCACCCUUCCUCGGCCAAGACCUGGCUUCAUCCAUCCACUCCCCGGUGUCUCAUUGGAACCUCCCUGGGGGAAAGGGGGGGUGGUGGUGAACAACUCCCAGCCGCCAGUUCCAUUUGUUGCGCUUUUUUCCUUCGACACAAUAAAAGUCAAAUUAAUUGAUUCAUACCAUUAAUUACGGCGCGUAGCGUGAAAAGCAAGCUUCCCCUCGGUUAGAGAUCUAUUGUGCUAAUCUCUUGUUCAAUCAGUGUUACCAUCUGAUGCCGGGUCUGGCCCUUACAGAAACUUUUCGACUCGAUUAGCUAAAUGAUGAGACGUGCAGGACCCGCUGGCUGCCGCCCCGACGUCCCGCGCCCGCGCC